GUGGGGAAUAUUGCACAAUGGGGGAAACCCUGAUGCAGCGACGCCGCGUGAGUGAGGAAGUAUUUCGGUAUGUAAAGCUCUAUCAGCAGGGAAGAAAAUGACGGUACCUGACUAAGAAGCCCCGGCUAACUACGUGCCAGCAGCCGCGGUAAUACGUAGGGGGCAAGCGUUAUCCGGAUUUACUGGGUGUAAAGGGAGCGUAGACGGAUAAGCAAGUCUGAUGUGAAAAUCCGGGGCCCAACCCCGGAAUUGCAUUGGAAACUGCAUAUCUAGAGUGUCGGAGAGGCAAGUGGAAUUCCUGGUGUAGCGGUGAAAUGCGUAGAUAUCAGGAGGAACACCAGUGGCGAAGGCGGCUUGCUGGACGAUGACUGACGUUGAGGCUCGAAAGCGUGGGGAGCAAACAGG
RNAcentral lists this ribosomal RNA (405 nucleotides) under uncultured bacterium. Its description in RNAcentral is "bacterial SSU rRNA". It matches the Rfam family "Bacterial small subunit ribosomal RNA", at positions 354 to 776 of the family's 1533-position model. The record is from RNAcentral. RNAcentral also lists the same sequence under 1 other name.